UGGGGAAUUUUGGACAAUGGGGGAAACCCUGAUUCAGCCAUCCCGCGUGUGCGAUGAAGGCCUUCGGGUUGUAAAGCACUUUUGGCAGGAAAGAAACGUCAUGGGUUAAUACCCCGUGAAACUGACGGUACCUGCAGAAUAAGCACCGGCUAACUACGUGCCAGCAGCCGCGGUAAUACGGAGGGUGCAAGCGUUAAUCGGAAUUACUGGGCGUAAAGCGUGCGCAGGCGGUUCGGAAAGAAAGAUGUGAAAUCCCAGAGCUCAACUUUGGAACUGCAUUUUUAACUACCGGGCUAGAGUGUGUCAGAGGGAGGUGGAAUUCCGCGUGUAGCAGUGAAAUGCGUAGAUAUGCGGAGGAACACCGAUGGCGAAGGCAGCCUCCUGGGAUAACACUGACGCUCAUGCACGAAAGCGUGGGGAGCAAACAGG
This 429-nucleotide ribosomal RNA is filed under the name Acidobacteriota bacterium. Its description in RNAcentral is "Acidobacteria bacterium partial 16S ribosomal RNA". It matches the Rfam family "Bacterial small subunit ribosomal RNA", at positions 355 to 776 of the family's 1533-position model. The record is from RNAcentral. Lineage: Bacteria; Pseudomonadati; Acidobacteriota.